Molecule: small nucleolar RNA, 134 nt
Filed under: Bison bison bison
Lineage: Eukaryota; Metazoa; Chordata; Mammalia; Artiodactyla; Bovidae
Description: Small nucleolar RNA SNORA70 (ENSBBBG00000021721.1)
Rfam family: Small nucleolar RNA SNORA70
About the family: snoRNA U70 seems to be exclusive to mammals and is a member of the H/ACA class of snoRNA which contain H (ANANNA) and ACA box motifs.
Source: Rfam by way of RNAcentral
AUGAGCAAAGCAAGCCACCUGUGCUAUUUCCUCCCCUGGGAGCCCAGGGUGCAAUGGCUGCAAAUAGGAGCCUUUUCGGUAGUGUAUACAGCCUGUUGCCUGCAUGAGUUGCCCUAAGGAACUUGAAUACGACC